AAAUAAAUUCACGUACAAUUCAACGGCGAUCCUUUGAAGCAGGUGUAUUUAAAUCGCAAUAUUUAUUUUUAGAAUUAAAUGUUUCAUCAGAUAUUGAAAAGUACAAGUCAAAAAAAGCGUUUUGAAUGAACCAGGAUAUCACGGCAAUAAACAUUGGUUAAUGUAUCUUGAAAACUCCAUAAUUUUUGUAACGCGCCAUUUCAAUUAUAUUUAAUUUUGUUUACAUGUCACAAAAAUUACCUGUGUGACCAAUUCACUUGAAUCUGUGCACAUGAUAUUUUGUAUGACUGUUUAAAAUAAUAAGAUUUCAAAAUUUCAUUGCCGAUGGAAGCUUUUGAUGGGCAUAACCGUCACCAAAGAGUAUAAGACAAACAUACAUAUAUCAUUUAAAAAAAUGUUUCAAUUUUAUGUUGACUUUGGAUGUUCAUUCCUUUUUUACAUCAUAGAACUAUUAUAUCUGCGCAGAAACUAUAGCCUUUCAGAUAACCAAACUGUUAAAGAUACGAAAAAUGAUCGUAUUCAAAAAAUUUGGAAGGAAAGGAUUUUUAUCAUUCGAUUAGCAAUUGGAUUGUUGUGUAAUGCAGCAAUCAUUAUAAGUAUAUGUGUACUGAAAAAAGAUGUUUGCAUUGCAGGGAAUGUUGCAAAGGGAUUAUUCAUAACUAUUGUAAUAUUUACUGUACUUUCGUUCCUAAUUAUGGAAUAUAUUGCGUGUGGAAUAAAUCCCAAUGAUGAAUGUACACUAACAAUGUUGAUAGGACAUAGAAUAUACGAAAUACAAUAUGACAUUGUGUUGUGUGUCUACUGUCUUCUGUUAUCAAACUGGGUAAUGACAAAACUUGUAAUCGUUAUAUAUGUACUUUCAACAAUUGAUAUAGCAAUUAGUGCCAUUUCACUAAUAAAGAAUGUUUGUGACUUGAAAAAAAAAUGAAACAAAUGUAUUGACAGUUUUAUUUCCUAUUUGUGUCUUUAUAUUUAUUCCUUUUCCAGUUGUGUUUAUCUUAUGUAUGUUAAGUAGUAUGUUAAGUAGUGGUGGAUCAACAAGUAGUUCUUCACAUGGAGGAACAUUUGACCAAGUUAUAUAGCAAUAUUAUCUUUUACGAAAUAUUUAUAGAAUAACUAAUCGAAGAAUUCAAACAGAGAAAAAUAUUCGACGAGUGACCGAACAACACAUUAAUUCACGAAUGCGCGUAGCUCAUGAGUUAAUUAUCAGUGUUGUUCGGUCACGUUGAAUAUUUUUCAGUAUUUAUUUUAUAACUAGUCAUUGUUUUUAUUACAUUGGAAAAUGGCUUUUUUUUUUUUAAAGAAAUUAAUGUAAAAGACGUAAGGAACUAUAUAUUUU
RNAcentral lists this long non-coding RNA (1339 nucleotides) under Mytilus galloprovincialis (Mediterranean mussel). Lineage: Eukaryota; Metazoa; Mollusca; Bivalvia; Mytilida; Mytilidae. The record is from RNAcentral.